RNAcentral lists this long non-coding RNA (3156 nucleotides) under Cimex lectularius (bed bug). RNAcentral's name for it is "uncharacterized LOC112126267". Lineage: Eukaryota; Metazoa; Arthropoda; Insecta; Hemiptera; Cimicidae. The record is from RNAcentral.
CUCGACACCAGAGGCGAGAAUGCGGCAAAGAACCGAUCAUCGCGUGUCAGUUCUGCGAUUAUAGAUGCUAUUGGAUGUACAACUUGAAAAUGCACGUUAAGAGCCGUCACAUGAAAUCCUAAAUAUCUUUGUAAAAGAAAACAGUUCGAUUUUAGUAAUAAACAGUUUAUUUUCCAGUACGAACUUAUUUUUGUGAUAACCUUGCCAUGUCGCCGGUGGAGUUGGUCUAAGUAAUCAGUACGAUGGGGUACGGCCAAUUGUCGAUCCAAUUGAUCAAAUUUGAAUCUUCUCUGCGUUGAAGUUAUUCUGGAUCGGGAAUGGUGUGCCCAAUUGAUGGUCAUACGUCAAAGGAUGGACGAAUGUUACCGGAAAGAGUGUGUGGGGUCGGCUCGACAGUCUAACCGUUUUCUUUUAUAUGAAGAUCCUUGCUGUCCCUUAAUUCAAAAAAUACAGCACUUUCGCCUACGGAGCUGAGCUGGUUUUUUAAAUUAAGAGGCGAAAUGCUUUUUCUUAACUACACUCCAUGACGAGAAAGAGAGUUUGUAACCUCAGAGGAAGGGAGGAUGUGAUCCAUUCCUUGGGUGUAUGUCCCAUCCUCUUGGAAUUUAUAGAUCCCCAAUACAGGUCACAGCAGGCUCAGCUGAAACCAGAUAAUUGAGUGUUGAAGGGCGAUUUUCUGGUUAGUUUUAUCUUUCCAGUCAAUGCAUUGUGCAAAUUUAUUAUCGCAAAGACGAGAAAGCUUCGUCUAUACCAUUUGCAGCUUCAAAACCCACUGGCAUAUCUCAAGACCCAUGCUAACAUGACGAUUUUAAAAAAAUCCUAGAACGCAUUUCAAAUCAAGGUUUAACAUCAGACCCAUGGAUCAAAGGAAGUGAGAAAGAGCUGCCAUCUUCUAUCAUGUACUGAAAAACACCUACGACCAAAACACACUAUAAACACAAAAAUUAGACUUGUUCUGCAGUAAUUGUUGCAUAAAAUACUCUUCCAACAUUAUUAAAACAUUGUUUAUUUUUGGGAAAUAAAUUGUUUAUAUUAUAUAGAUAUAUUGUAUAUCUUUAUCUCGAUGGUCUUAAGAACUGGAAGGUUUAGUCUUAAUUUUAGAUCUUUAGUAUUAGUGUAUAUUGGCUGAGACUAAAUAUUUUUGUACAAAAUUACAGGUCUUGUUUGCAAGUGUGGGAAGUAUUUUGGAAACAAGACCUCCUACUAUUACCAGCACAUCAAGUGGCAGUGCGGGAAGCCUCCAUCUUUGGAAUGCUCUUUCGGCGGCUGUUCUUACAGAACGCACUGGAAGUCCAAUCUGAAAAAGCACAUUGCGAACAGCCAUAUGAAUUUGCCAUAAAAUAAUAUAUAUUUUUUUCAAUAUUUUCAAUUCUUUUUUUUUAUUAUAUAUUUUUAUCUGUACAUAGGAAAAUGAGAAAGGGGGCGUUUCAAAGACUAACGGAUUUGUCGGUUUUCAGGCUUGGUCUGCGAUUGUGGGAAAUUCUUCAAGACAAAGUCUUACUUGUCGAAACACAAAAAGUGGCAAUGCGGCAAAUCCCCUUCGGUCUGUUGCCCGUUCAACUGCGGCUAUAUGACUUACUGGCGUUCAAAUCUUAACCAGCACAUUGCCACCAACCACCCCAUGAGACUAACACCCCGUUAGACCCAUAUCCUAUAACCGAAGCGAAGUUUUAUUUUAUUUCUGUUUGUUUGGUUUUUUAACUUGAUUUUGUCUUGGAAUACACGAUGACCGAGUAGCCUUAGUCCUUGUGAACCUUCCACAAUUUGUUGAUUCUUGAAAUAAAUUUUUUGAAAGAUUCAAACACUCAUUUUUUAAAAUUAUUUAUUAACAAAUCCUUAAACCCUAAUCCAGUAUUAUCCUUCAUUAAACUUUUUUCACUCUUGAACUGUUAGUAGUAGCCCAGAAUUAUAUAUGUUUAGCUGUUACUAGUAUUAAAAGCGGUAAAUUUUACUUAUGAAAACUGGCCAAAUGCUCAGUGGAAACUAGAUUUGAAAUUUCAAAUGUUUGUCUUAAAUGUCUUUUACCUUAUCUUCCGAUCCUGCCUGACAGAUAUCGCCGUGUCUCUCAGGGAAUAUCCCCCUCCCUAUUUCGGUAAAAUCUGGAGUCCCCCAAGGAAGUACCGUUGGUCCGAUCAUCUUUUCAAUUUUUUCACUCUUGAACCUUGUCUUAAAUGUCUUUUACCUUAUCUUCCGAUCCUGCCUGACAGAUAUCACCGUGUCUCUCAGGUAAUAUCCCUUUAUAUUUCGGUAAAUCUGGAGUCCCCCAAGGAAGUACUGUUGGUCCGAUCAUCUUUUCAGUAUGUACUGCUGACACCCCUACUUCCCCAAACAUAUCGGCGCCUCGCUUCUCACUUCAACCCAUCCGUUGUUAGCUCCUAUCACCUCAUCCUAUUUGAAUGGUACCGCAAAUGGAUAAUCAAAGUAAACGAAUAUCAACAAGUCAAUUUGCCCUCCAUUAUGACUGGAAUGACAUACUGACGCUGAUAUAGUACGGACAAUCUCCCCUCAACCUUAACAUCAAACAUUUACGAAACUCCCAUCAUCUGAUAUGGACCUAAGGAGUGGAAGUUUGGGAUCAAACAUUCAUCCCGAGUCCAGCCUCUAUAAUUCAAAAUCAUAAGAAAAAUCCACUCUCUUCUACCUUUCCAAUAAAACCAUUCACACUGAUUCCACAUUCCAUUCUUUCACGCCCUUUUAAAAACACAUUAUCAGACCUAUCUGUGCAUCCAACUUUCCAUACUAACCAUACCUGGAAUUCCUCGUAUAUGAAGAGACAAAGGCCUAGGGAUUUGCUCCAGUGAUGUGUGUGUGUGUAUCACCAGAGGGUGGCUUCUCCCAUAAAUUUUAAUUAUUAUGUUAUGAUUUAACAAAUAUACUUAUUGUAGUUGAAGUUUAAGGUGUAAAUAAUAUCAAUAAUAAUUUGUAAAAAUUACUACAUGCGGCAUUUCAAUCUUUGAAAGGGGAAACCUUGAACAGUUUGUUUUCUAAGCGUUCAAAACUAAUUUUGUAAAUGGUUGAGCGGUUUAUUCUCUCUGUAUUGUUACUUUUUGUAUUUUUCCCUGAUGAAAGUUUAAAACGGUGCAAGCUUUUAAAACUAGAAACUCGAAAACUAAUUUUUUUAAAAUUUAUUUAUAUACUUUUCAAUUAAUUAAUCUU